GGAGGGUUAGCCUAAUUGGUAAGGCAGCGGACUUGAAAUCCGCCGUCGCGAAAAGCGACAUGGGGGUUCGAGUCCCUCACCCUCCG
Molecule: transfer RNA, 86 nt
Filed under: Caldifarciminota bacterium
Lineage: Bacteria; Pseudomonadati; Caldifarciminota
Description: candidate division WOR-3 bacterium (hot springs metagenome) tRNA-Ser
Rfam family: tRNA
About the family: Transfer RNA (tRNA) molecules are approximately 80 nucleotides in length.
Source: RNAcentral